Molecule: ribosomal RNA, 500 nt
Filed under: uncultured bacterium
Lineage: Bacteria
Description: partial 16S ribosomal RNA
Rfam family: Bacterial small subunit ribosomal RNA
Source: RNAcentral
AUUGAACGCUGGCGGCAUGCUUUACACAUGCAAGUCGAACGGCAGCACGGGCUUCGGCCUGGUGGCGAGUGGCGAACGGGUGAGUAAUACAUCGGAACGUACCCAGUAGUGGGGGAUAGCCCGGCGAAAGCCGGAUUAAUACCGCAUAUGCCCUGAGGGGGAAAGCGGGGGACCGAAAGGCCUCGCGCUAUUGGAGCGGCCGAUGGCUGAUUAGCUAGUUGGUGGGGUAAAGGCCUACCAAGGCGACGAUCAGUAGCUGGUCUGAGAGGACGACCAGCCACACUGGGACUGAGACACGGACCAGACUCCUACGGGAGGCAGCAGUGGGGAAUUUUGGACAAUGGGCGAAAGCCUGAUCCAGCAAUGCCGCGUGUGCGAAGAAAGCCUUCGGGUUGUAAAGCACUUUUGUUUGGAAAGAAAAGGUUUGGGUUAAUACCCUGGACUGAUGACGGUACCAAUCGAAUAAGCACCGGCUAACUACGUGCCAGCAGCCGCGGUAA